Molecule: ribosomal RNA, 449 nt
Filed under: uncultured bacterium
Lineage: Bacteria
Description: partial 16S ribosomal RNA
Rfam family: Bacterial small subunit ribosomal RNA
Source: RNAcentral
AGCGAACGCUGGCGGCAGGCCUAACACAUGCAAGUCGAACGAAGUCUUCGGACUUAGUGGCGGACGGGUGAGUAGCACGUGGGAACGUGCCUUUAGGUUCGGAAUAACUCAGGGAAACUUGUGCUAAUACCGAAUGUGCCCUUCGGGGGAAAGAUUUAUCGCCUUUAGAGCGGCCCGCGUCUGAUUAGCUAGUCGGUGAGGUAAAGGCUCACCAAGGCGACGAUCAGUAGCUGGUCUGAGAGGAUGAUCAGCCACAUUGGGACUGAGACACGGCCCAAACUCCUACGGGAGGCAGCAGUGGGGAAUCUUGCGCAAUGGGCGAAAGCCUGACGCAGCCAUGCCGCGUGAAUGAUGAAGGUCUUAGGAUUGUAAAAUUCUUUCACCGGGGACGAUAAUGACGGUACCCGGAGAAGAAGCCCCGGCUAACUUCGUGCCAGCAGCCGCCGUAA